RNAcentral lists this small RNA (106 nucleotides) under Marmota monax (woodchuck). The record is from RNAcentral. Lineage: Eukaryota; Metazoa; Chordata; Mammalia; Rodentia; Sciuridae.
GCCGGGGGCGGUGACGCACCCCUGUGAUCCAGUAACUCAGGAGGCUGAGGCAGGAGGAUCAUGGGUUUGAGGCCAGCCUCAGCAACUUAGCGAGACCCUGUCUCAA